AUUGAACGCUGGCGGCAUGCCUUACACAUGCAAGUCGAACGGUAACGGGCCUUCGGGUGCCGACGAGUGGCGAACGGGUGAGUAAUACAUCGGAACGUGCCCGAUCGUGGGGGAUAACGAGGCGAAAGCUUUGCUAAUACCGCAUACGAUCUACGGAUGUAAGCAGGGGACCGCAAGGCCUUGCGCGGACGGAGCGGCCGAUGGCAGAUUAGGUAGUUGGUGGGAUAAAAGCUUACCAAGCCGACGAUCUGUAGCUGGUCUGAGAGGAUGAUCAGCCACACUGGGACUGAGACACGGCCCAGACUCCUACGGGAGGCAGCAGUGGGGAAUUUUGGACAAUGGGCGCAAGCCUGAUCCAGCCAUGCCGCGUGCAGGAUGAAGGCCUUCGGGUUGUAAACUGCUUUUGUACGGAACGAAAAGCCUUCUUUUAAUACAGGAGGGUCAUGACGGUACCGUAAGAAUAAGCACCGGCUAACUACGUG
RNAcentral lists this ribosomal RNA (482 nucleotides) under uncultured bacterium. RNAcentral's name for it is "partial 16S ribosomal RNA". It matches the Rfam family "Bacterial small subunit ribosomal RNA", at positions 30 to 507 of the family's 1533-position model. The record is from RNAcentral.